CUUAGCGAGCUAUUCUGUUUUUUCAUUUGUUUUUUAUUCAUUUGCAUAUACCCCUUUUUUUUUAUUAGGCAAAGUAUCUCUUAACUGCAUCUGAAUUCACAGGACGAGUGAAAUCCUCCCCAUCCAUUGUUGUAAGCAUCAAAGCACCGCCUGAAAAGGCUCUCUUAACAACAUAUGGACCCUCGUAGUUUGGAGUCCACUUGCCCCUGGAAUCGGGCGCGAAAGACAA
This 229-nucleotide long non-coding RNA is filed under the name Lathyrus oleraceus (garden pea). RNAcentral describes it as "Pisum sativum (pea) long non-coding RNA (PSAT_LNC040364)". Lineage: Eukaryota; Viridiplantae; Streptophyta; Magnoliopsida; Fabales; Fabaceae. The record is from RNAcentral.